RNAcentral lists this ribosomal RNA (253 nucleotides) under uncultured bacterium. Its description in RNAcentral is "partial 16S ribosomal RNA". It matches the Rfam family "Bacterial small subunit ribosomal RNA", at positions 524 to 776 of the family's 1533-position model. The record is from RNAcentral.
UACGAAGGUGGCAAGCGUUGUUCGGAUUUACUGGGCGUAAAGGGAGCGUAGGUGGUUAGGUAAGCCCUCCGGGAAAUCUUCAGGCUUAACCUGAAAAGGUCGGGGGGGACUGCCUAGCUAGAGGGCGGGAGAGGAGCGCGGAAUUCCCGGUGUAGCGGUGAAAUGCGUAGAGAUCGGGGGGAAGGCCGGUGGCGAAGGCGGCGCUCUGGAACGUUUCUGACACUGAGGCUCGAAAGCGUGGGGAGCAAACAGG